This 372-nucleotide ribosomal RNA is filed under the name uncultured organism. RNAcentral describes it as "bacterial SSU rRNA". It matches the Rfam family "Bacterial small subunit ribosomal RNA", at positions 526 to 896 of the family's 1533-position model. The record is from RNAcentral.
CGAAGGUGGCAAGCGUUACACGGAAUUACUAGGCGUAAAGCGCAGGUAGGCGGUUCGGUAAGUCUUUUGUGAAAGCUCCCGGCUUAACUGGGAGAGGUCAAGGGAUACUGUCGAGCUAGAGUGUGGUAGAGGAUACUGGAAUUCCCGGUGUAGCGGUGAAAUGCGUAGAUAUCGGGAGGAAUACCUAUGGCGAAAGCAGGUAUCUGGGCCAUCACUGACGCUGAGCUGCGAAAGCUAGGGGAGCAAACAGGAUUAGAUACCCUGGUAGUCCUAGCCCUAAACGAUGCUCAUUAGAUGUGGGGGGUAUCGACCCCUUCCGCGUCGUAGCUAACGCAUUAAAUGAGCCGCCUGGAGAGUACGGCCGCAAGGUUG